RNAcentral lists this long non-coding RNA (1134 nucleotides) under Capra hircus (goat). RNAcentral's name for it is "lncRNA (ENSCHIG00000006240.1)". The record is from RNAcentral. Lineage: Eukaryota; Metazoa; Chordata; Mammalia; Artiodactyla; Bovidae.
CAGGAUCCCCCAUUGCUUUGAAGGGCGCUCCUCUAACUGCCGCCUCAGGGAACAGCCACGUGCCAGGAGCCGUGGGCGGGGCCAGCCACUCCAGUACACCGCGCUCGCAGCCAAUAGCCCCGACAGAGUCUGCGAGGCAAGGAGAGGCAAGAUAAGCAUCGAGAUCCCCGCAGGACUGACAGCUGCUGCAGCACGAACUCUGACCAGAAAAUGAUUUUACUCUUUCUAUUUUAGCUUGCGUGCCCUCUCCUCAUGUAUUUCUUUUUGCUAACGAUUCGGGAAAACUUGAUGUUCGUAUGAAUUUCGCGGGUGGACCUCAUGUAGUGGCUUGUGACCAAUGUAUGCUUUCAUCUUGUUUAGCUCCUCAGUACAAUGUUUGCUCUUUUGUGGCGUUGGAACGCCCGCCAUAUCUUAUGAGACCUGUAACUGUAACUACUCACUGGUACGGCAAUUAUGGUCUUGCUAUGUUGUAGCAACUGCAGGAUUUGAUGGGAACGCGACGAUUUGUGGGCUUACUUAUUUUAGUGAAAGAUGCAAAGCUCCAUAAAGACCAGAAGUUAGAGCGAAGCACAUCUUGGAAGAUGAGCAAUUUCACCUGCAGGCCCUCCUCAAGUCAGCCAGAGGAGACAGACAAAACUGGAAAAUUCCAGAAUCAUCCCAUUCUACAAUCUUCUUCAAUAAUAUAUUGAUGUGGCAUGGAAGAAUCACCUGUUAGAGUGGCGUCUUGGAGUGGCCAUUUCCAUUAUCUGUGUUUAUUGACCACUCAUAGCUUCCCACGUGUGGGAGGAGGAGUGACUCAUCUGAUUGUUCAGGGAGAAUCCAGGACAAAACGGAAGAUCUGGGGCCUUUCCACCUGCCUCUGCUUCUCACUCUCUCUCUCUCUGUCUCUUUCUCUCCCUUCCACCCUUUUUUCUCCCUUCCUCCCUUUUCUCCUCCCUCCCCUCUCCUCUCCUCUUCACUUCUCUGCCCAGAAACUGCUGAGUAAAUCAGUCUGUCCCUGCCCUAUCUGUCCAUCUGUCUUCAAUUUCAGGUGAAAGCCAGAAAAGAGAAUAUUCCACCUUUUUUAAUAAAACCAGAGACCUUGAACUUUGGUGAAUAAAAGAGACUCACUGGGCUAUUUAUAAAGGUUCCCAC